Molecule: non-coding RNA, 521 nt
Organism: Paramuricea clavata
Lineage: Eukaryota; Metazoa; Cnidaria; Anthozoa; Malacalcyonacea; Plexauridae
Source: the annotation of a GenBank genome assembly
UUUUAGUACGGCUAUACAGUGGAUUGCUCAACAAAAACUUCUCAUCGAUUCUAUUUUACAUUUACUUGAUGAUUUUCUCCUUAUAUCACCAUCUUAUGACACCUGUGCAGUUCGGUUAAAACGUUUUCUCGAUUUUUGCACUUUUAUUGGAUUGCCCAUGGCACCGGAAAAAACGUGUGGUCCUUCAACCACGCUUUGUUUUGCAGGUAUUGAGUUAGACACGAUCAGAUUUGAGGCCCGUUUACCUUUGGAAAAAUUGAGAAAAUGUGUUGACCUUAUUUCUGAUUUUCAAAAGCGUAAGAAGAUUACCUUAAGGGAAAUUCAAUCUUUAAUUGGCCUUUUAAAUUUUGCAUGUUCUGUCAUCAUUCCCGGCAGGGCAUUCUUGCGUCGCUUAAUUGAUCUCACCCACGGCAUCCGUUUAUCUCAUCACCUUAUCAGGCUUAAUCGCGAGACAAAACAAGACUUAAAUGUGUGGCUAUCGUUUUUAGCAAAUUACAAUGGCCGGUCAUUUUUUCUCGAGG